GACGAACGCUGGCGGCGUGCCUAACACAUGCAAGUCGAACGGAAAGGCCCUGCUUUUGUGGGGUGCUCGAGUGGCGAACGGGUGAGUAACACGUGAGUAACCUGCCCUUGACUUUGGGAUAACUUCAGGAAACUGGGGCUAAUACCGGAUAGGAGCUCCUGCUGCAUGGUGGGGGUUGGAAAGUUUCGGCGGUUGGGGAUGGACUCGCGGCUUAUCAGCUUGUUGGUGGGGUAGUGGCUUACCAAGGCUUUGACGGGUAGCCGGCCUGAGAGGGUGACCGGCCACAUUGGGACUGAGAUACGGCCCAGACUCCUACGGGAGGCAGCAGUGGGGAAUAUUGCACAAUGGGCGGAAGCCUGAUGCAGCAACGCCGCGUGCGGGAUGACGGCCUUCGGGUUGUAAACCGCUUUCGCCUGUGACGAAGCGUGAGUGACGGUAAUGGGUAAAGAAGCACCGGCUAACUACGUGCCAGCAGCCGCGGUGAUACGUAGGGUGCGAGCGUUGUCCGGAUUUAUUGGGCGUAAAGGGCUCGUAGGUGGUUGAUCGCGUCGGAAGUGUAAUCUUGGGGCUUAACCCUGAGCGUGCUUUCGAUACGGGUUGACUUGAGGAAGGUAGGGGAGAAUGGAAUUCCUGGUGGAGCGGUGGAAUGCGCAGAUAUCAGGAGGAACACCAGUGGCGAAGGCGGUUCUCUGGGCCUUUCCUGACGCUGAGGAGCGAAAGCGUGGGGAGCGAACAGGCUUAGAUACCCUGGUAGUCCACGCUGUAAACGGUGGGUACUAGGUGUGGGGUCCAUUCCACGGGUUCCGUGCCGUAGCUAACGCUUUAAGUACCCCGCCUGGGGAGUACGGCCGCAAGGCUAAAACUCAAAGGAAUUGACGGGGCCCCGCACAAGCGGCGGAGCAUGCGGAUUAAUUCGAUGCAACGCGUAGAACCUUACCUGGGUUUGACAUGGAUCGGGAGUGCUCAGAGAUGGGUGUGCCUCUUUUGGGGUCGGUUCACAGGUGGUGCAUGGCUGUCGUCAGCUCGUGUCGUGAGAUGUUGGGUUAAGUCCCGCAACGAGCGCAACCCUUGUUCACUGUUGCCAGCACGUUAUGGUGGGGACUCAGUGGAGACCGCCGGGGUCAACUCGGAGGAAGGUGGGGAUGACGUCAAGUCAUCAUGCCCCUUAUGUCCAGGGCUUCACGCAUGCUACAAUGGCUGGUACAGAGAGUGGCGAGCCUGUGAGGGUGAGCGAAUCUCCGGAAAGCCGGUCUCAGUUCGGAUUGGGGUCUGCAACUCGACCUCAUGAAGUCGGAGUCGCUAGUAAUCGCAGAUCAGCAACGCUGCGGUGAGUACGUUCCCGGG
Molecule: ribosomal RNA, 1344 nt
Filed under: uncultured bacterium
Lineage: Bacteria
Description: 16S ribosomal RNA
Rfam family: Bacterial small subunit ribosomal RNA
Source: RNAcentral